UAGGGAAUCUUCCGCAAUGGGCGAAAGCCUGACGGAGCAACGCCGCGUGAGUGAUGAAGGCCUUCGGAUCGUAAAACUCUGUUAUUAGGGAAGAACAAAUGUGUAAGUAACUAUGCACGUCUUGACGGUACCUAAUCAGAAAGCCACGGCUAACUACGUGCCAGCAGCCGCGGUAAUACGUAGGUGGCAAGCGUUAUCCGGAAUUAUUGGGCGUAAAGCGAGCGUAGGCGGUUUUUUAAGUCUGGUGUGAAAGCCCACGGCUCAACCGUGGAGGGUCAUUGGAAACUGGAAAACUUGAGUGCAGAAGAGGAAAGUGGAAUUCCAUGUGUAGCGGUGAAAUGCGCAGAGAUAUGGAGAAACACCAGUGGCGAAGGCGACUGUCUAGUCUGUAACUGACACUGAUGUGCGAAAGCGUGGGGAUCAAACAGG
Molecule: ribosomal RNA, 429 nt
Filed under: Actinomycetes bacterium
Lineage: Bacteria; Bacillati; Actinomycetota; Actinomycetes
Description: Actinobacteria bacterium partial 16S ribosomal RNA
Rfam family: Bacterial small subunit ribosomal RNA
Source: RNAcentral